This 696-nucleotide ribosomal RNA is filed under the name uncultured bacterium. RNAcentral's name for it is "bacterial SSU rRNA". It matches the Rfam family "Bacterial small subunit ribosomal RNA", at positions 78 to 775 of the family's 1533-position model. The record is from RNAcentral.
AGUGAUGUAUGAGUUAGUGGCGGACGGGUGAGUAACGCGUGGAGAACCUGCCGUAUACUGGGGGAUAACACUUAGAAAUAGGUGCUAAUACCGCAUAAGCGCACAGCUUCGCAUGAAGCAGUGUGAAAAACUCCGGUGGUAUACGAUGGAUCCGCGUCUGAUUAGCUGGUUGGCGGGGUAACAGCCCACCAAGGCGACGAUCAGUAGCCGGCCUGAGAGGGUGAACGGCCACAUUGGGACUGAGACACGGCCCAAACUCCUACGGGAGGCAGCAGUGGGGAAUAUUGCACAAUGGGGGAAACCCUGAUGCAGCGACGCCGCGUGAGUGAAGAAGUAUUUCGGUAUGUAAAGCUCUAUCAGCAGGGAAGAAAUACUGACCUUACGGUCAGCAGACGGUACCUGACUAAGAAGCCCCGGCUAACUACGUGCCAGCAGCCGCGGUAAUACGUAGGGGGCAAGCGUUAUCCGGAUUUACUGGGUGUAAAGGGAGCGUAGACGGCAGCGCAAGUCUGAAGUGAAAUCCCAUGGCUUAACCAUGGAACUGCUUUGGAAACUGUGCAGCUGGAGUGCAGGAGAGGUAAGCGGAAUUCCUAGUGUAGCGGUGAAAUGCGUAGAUAUUAGGAGGAACACCAGUGGCGAAGGCGGCUUACUGGACUGUAACUGACGUUGAGGCUCGAAAGCGUGGGGAGCAAACAG